GACGAACGCUGGCGGCGUGCUUAACACAUGCAAGUCGAGCGAGGCCCCUCCUUCGGGAGGGUGUCCUAGCGGCGAACGGGUGAGUAACACGUGGGCAACCUGCCCCCGGCUCUGGGAUAACUCCAAGAAAUUGGGGCUAAUACCGGAUAUGACCGCUGACCGCAUGGACUGGUGGUGGAACGAGUGAUCGGCUGGGGAUGGGCGCGCGGCCUAUCAGCUUGUUGGUGGGGUAGUGGCCUACCAAGGCGACGACGGGUAGCCGGCCUGAGAGGGUGACCGGCCACACUGGGACUGGGACACGGCCCAGACUCCUACGGGAGGCAGCAGUGGGGAAUAUUGCGCAAUGGGCGGAAGCCUGACGCAGCGACGCCGCGUGGGGGAUGACGGCCUUCGGGUUGUAAACCUCUUCCAGCAGGGACGAAGCGAAAGUGACGGUACCUGCAGAAGAAGCACCGGCCAACUACGUGCCAGCCGCCGCCGUAA
RNAcentral lists this ribosomal RNA (483 nucleotides) under uncultured bacterium. Its description in RNAcentral is "partial 16S ribosomal RNA". It matches the Rfam family "Bacterial small subunit ribosomal RNA", at positions 28 to 523 of the family's 1533-position model. The record is from RNAcentral.